RNAcentral lists this ribosomal RNA (257 nucleotides) under uncultured bacterium. RNAcentral's name for it is "partial 16S ribosomal RNA". It matches the Rfam family "Bacterial small subunit ribosomal RNA", at positions 96 to 354 of the family's 1533-position model. The record is from RNAcentral.
UGGCGGACGGGUGAGUAACGCGUGGAAAACCUGCCGUAUACUGGGGGAUAACACUUAGAAAUAGGUGCUAAUACCGCAUAAGCGCACAGCUUCGCAUGAAGCGGUGUGAAAAACUCUGGUGGUAUACGAUGGUUCCGCGUCUGAUUAGCUAGUUGGUGGGGUAAUGGCCUACCAAGGCAACGAUCAGUAGCCGGCCUGAGAGGUGAACGGCCACAUUGGGACUGAGACACGGCCCAAACUCCUACGGAAGGCAGCAG